This 439-nucleotide ribosomal RNA is filed under the name uncultured bacterium. RNAcentral's name for it is "partial 16S ribosomal RNA". It matches the Rfam family "Bacterial small subunit ribosomal RNA", at positions 339 to 795 of the family's 1533-position model. The record is from RNAcentral.
CUAUGGGAGGCUGCAGUGGGGAAUAUUGCACAAUGGAGGAAACUCUGAUGCAGCAACGCCGCGUGGAGGAUGACACUUUUCGGAGCGUAAACUCCUUUUAUAUAGGAAGAAGAUGACGGUACUAUAUGAAUAAGCGCCGGCUAACUCCGUGCCAGCAGCCGCGGUAAUACGGAGGGCGCAAGCGUUACUCGGAAUCACUGGGCGUAAAGAGCGUGUAGGCGGAUUAAAAAGUCAGGAGUGAAAUCCUAUAGCUUAACUAUAGAACUGCUUCUGAAACUCUUAAUCUAGAAUAUGGGAGAGGUAGAUGGAAUUUCUGGUGUAGGGGUAAAAUCCGUAGAGAUCAGAAGGAAUACCGAUUGCGAAGGCGAUCUACUAGAACAUUAUUGACGCUGAGACGCGAAAGCGUGGGGAGCAAACGGGAUUAGAUACCCUGGUAGUC